GGAAUGUCGAUGCUUACACAUGCAGUCGAUUCAAGUUACCUUCGGGUAAUGAGGAUGGCGGACGGGUGAGUAACGCGUAAGGAACUUGCCUCUUGGACUGGGACAACUGUUGGAAACGACAGCUAAUACCGGAUAUUAUGAGAUUCUCGCAUGAGAAACUUAUGAAAGCUAUAUGCGCCAAGAGAGAGCCUUGCGUUCCAUUAGCUAGUUGGUGGGGUAACGGCCCACCAAGGCGACGAUGGAUAGCCGGCCUGAGAGGGUGAACGGCCACAAGGGGACUGAGACACGGCCCUUACUCCUACGGGAGGCAGCAGUGGGGAAUAUUGGACAAUGGGCCACAAGCCUGAUCCAGCAAUUCUGUGUGCACGAUGAAGGUCUUCGGAUUGUAAAGUGCUUUCAGUUGGGAAGAAGAAAGUGACGGUACCAACAGAAGAAGCGACGGCUAAAUACGUGCCAGCAGCCGCGGUAAUACGUAUGUCGCAAGCGUUAUCCGGAUUUAUUGGGCGUAAAGCGCGUCUAGGCGGAAAAAUAAGUCUGAUGUUAAAAUGCGGGGCUCAACUCCGUAUUGCGUUGGAAACUGUUUUUCUAGAGUACUGGAGAGGUGGGCGGAACUACAAGUGUAGAGGUGAAAUUCGUAGAUAUUUGUAGGAAUGCCGAUGGAGAAGUCAGCUCACUGGACAGAUACUGACGCUGAAGCGCGAAAGCGUGGGGAGCAAACAGGAUUAGAUACCCUGGUAGUCCACGCCGUAAACGAUGAUCACUAGGUGUUGGGGGUCGAACCUCAGCGCCCAAGCUAACGCGAUAAGUGAUCCGCCUGGGGAGUACGCACGCAAGUGUGAAACUCAAAGGAAUUGACGGGGACCCGCACAAGCGGUGGAGCAUGUGGUUUAAUUCGACGCAACGCGAGAAACCUUACCAGCGUUUGACAUCCUAAGAAGGUUCCAGAGAUGGAUUCGUGCUCGGCUUGGCGGGAACUUAGUGAACAGU
Molecule: ribosomal RNA, 987 nt
Filed under: uncultured bacterium
Lineage: Bacteria
Description: bacterial SSU rRNA
Rfam family: Bacterial small subunit ribosomal RNA
Source: RNAcentral